Molecule: microRNA precursor, 81 nt
Organism: Capra hircus (goat)
Lineage: Eukaryota; Metazoa; Chordata; Mammalia; Artiodactyla; Bovidae
Source: Ensembl
GACACGCAGGACGAGGCGGGCCUGGAGGUGCACCAGUUCUGGCCGCUGGUGGAGAUCCAGUGCUCGCCCGACCUCAAGUUC